AUUGGAGUCGGGUGACGCUUUGCCUGCUAUCUCUUACCCAUGUCUUUUGAGUACCUUACGUUUCCUCGGCGGGUCCGCCCGCCGAUUGGACAAUUUAAACCAUUUGCAGUUGCAAUCAGCGUCUGAAAAAACUUAAUAGUUACAACUUUCAACAACGGAUCUCUUGGUUCUGGCAUCGAUGAAGAACGCAGCGAAAUGCGAUAAGUAGUGUGAAUUGCAGAAUUCAGUGAAUCAUCGAAUCUUUGAACGCACAUUGCGCCCCUUGGUAUUCCAUGGGGCAUGCCUGUUCGAGCGUCAUUUGUACCUUCAAGCUCUGCUUGGUGUUGGGUGUUUGUCUCGCCUCUGCGUGUAGACUCGCCUCAAAACAAUUGGCAGCCGGCGUAUUGAUUUCGGAGCGCAGUACAUCUCGCGCUUUGCACUCAUAACGACGACGUCCAAAAGUACAUUUUUACACUCUUGACCUCGGAUCAGGUAGGGAUACCCGCUGAACUUAAGCAUAUCAAUAAGCCCGGAGGAGGA
Molecule: ribosomal RNA, 519 nt
Filed under: Didymella pinodella
Lineage: Eukaryota; Fungi; Ascomycota; Dothideomycetes; Pleosporales; Didymellaceae
Description: eukaryotic LSU rRNA
Rfam family: 5.8S ribosomal RNA (bases 144-297)
Source: RNAcentral